GCGGGAAUAGCUCAGUUGGUAGAGCAUAACCUUGCCAAGGUUGGGNNCAAGGUUGGGGUCGCGAGUUCGAGUCUCGUUUCCCGCUCCA
RNAcentral lists this transfer RNA (88 nucleotides) under Acinetobacter nosocomialis. RNAcentral's name for it is "tRNA-Gly". It matches the Rfam family "tRNA". From Rfam's summary of the family: Transfer RNA (tRNA) molecules are approximately 80 nucleotides in length. Their secondary structure includes four short double-helical elements and three loops (D, anti-codon, and T loops). Lineage: Bacteria; Pseudomonadati; Pseudomonadota; Gammaproteobacteria; Moraxellales; Moraxellaceae. The record is from RNAcentral.